ACUAGAGGGGGUUCGAUUCCUUCCUUUCUU
This 30-nucleotide transfer RNA is filed under the name Globicephala macrorhynchus (short-finned pilot whale). RNAcentral's name for it is "partial tRNA-Ser". The record is from RNAcentral. Lineage: Eukaryota; Metazoa; Chordata; Mammalia; Artiodactyla; Delphinidae.